CUAAGAAUAUUCCGCAAUGGACGGAAGUCUGACGGAGCGACGCCGCGUGGAUGACGAAGGCCGAAAGGUUGUAAAGUUCUUUUGCUGGGGAAGAAUAACCGCAGGAGGGAAUGCCUGUGGGAUGACAAGAACCGGCGAAUAAGCCCCGGCCAACUACGUGCCAGCAGCCGCGGUAACACGUAGGGGGCGAGCGUUGUUCGGAAUUACUGGGCGUAAAGGGCAUGUAGGCGGCUUGGAAAGCCUGGCGUGAAAGUCUGCAGCUUAACUGCAGGGGUGCGCUGGGAACUGCUGAGCUUGAGUGACGGAGAGGGAGCUGGAAUUCCUGGUGUAGGGGUGAAAUCUGUAGAUAUCAGGAAGAACACCGAUGGCGAAGGCAAGCUCCUGGCCGAUGACUGACGCUGAGGUGCGAAAGUGUGGGGAUCAAACAGGAUUAGAUACCCUGGUAGUCCACACAGUCAACGAUGUGCACUAGGUGCUGGGGCGGUAGCUUCGGUGCCGGAGCGAACGUGGUGAAGUGCACCGCCUGGGGAGUAUGCUCGCAAGGGUGAAACUUAAAUGAAUUGACGGGGUCAUAGCUAUUUCCU
Molecule: ribosomal RNA, 584 nt
Filed under: uncultured bacterium
Lineage: Bacteria
Description: partial 16S ribosomal RNA
Rfam family: Bacterial small subunit ribosomal RNA
Source: RNAcentral